This 425-nucleotide ribosomal RNA is filed under the name uncultured Sphingobacteriaceae bacterium. RNAcentral describes it as "bacterial SSU rRNA". It matches the Rfam family "Bacterial small subunit ribosomal RNA", at positions 354 to 776 of the family's 1533-position model. The record is from RNAcentral. Lineage: Bacteria; Pseudomonadati; Bacteroidota; Sphingobacteriia; Sphingobacteriales; Sphingobacteriaceae.
GUAAGGAAUAUUGGUCAAUGGGCGCAAGCCUGAACCAGCCAUGCCGCGUGCAGGAAGACGGCCCUACGGGUUGUAAACUGCUUUUAUACGGGAAUAACCCCGGUUUCGUGAAACCGGCUGAAUGUACCGUAAGAAUAAGGAUCGGCUAACUCCGUGCCAGCAGCCGCGGUAAUACGGAGGAUCCAAGCGUUAUCCGGAUUUAUUGGGUUUAAAGGGUGCGUAGGCGGCCUGCUAAGUCAGGGGUGAAAGACGGUGGCUCAACCAUCGCAGUGCCUUUGAUACUGGCGGGCUUGAAUGUACAUGAGGUAGGCGGAAUGUGACAAGUAGCGGUGAAAUGCAUAGAUAUGUCACAGAACACCGAUUGCGAAGGCAGCUUACUAAGGUAUAAUUGACGCUGAGGCACGAAAGCGUGGGGAUCAAACAGG